Molecule: ribosomal RNA, 459 nt
Filed under: uncultured bacterium
Lineage: Bacteria
Description: partial 16S ribosomal RNA
Rfam family: Bacterial small subunit ribosomal RNA
Source: RNAcentral
CCUACGGGAGGCAGCAGUGAGGAAUAUUGGUCAAUGGGCGCGAGCCUGAACCAGCCAAGUCGCGUGAGGGAAGACGGUCCUAUGGAUUGUAAACCUCUUUUGUCGGGGAGCAAAAGACGCCACGCGUGGCGUUCCGAGAGUACCCGAAGAAAAAGCAUCGGCUAACUCCGUGCCAGCAGCCGCGGUAAUACGGAGGAUGCGAGCGUUAUCCGGAUUUAUUGGGUUUAAAGGGUGCGCAGGCGGAAGAUCAAGUCAGCGGUAAAAUUGAGAGGCUCAACCUCUUCGAGCCGUUGAAACUGGUUUUCUUGAGUGAGUGAGAGGUAGGCGGAAGGCGUGGUGUAGCGGUGAAAUGCAUAGAUAUCACGCAGAACUCCGAUUGCGAAGGCAGCAUACCGGCGCUCAAUUGACGCUAAUGCACGAAAGUGUGGGUAGCGAACAGGAUUAGAGACCCUAGUAGUC